RNAcentral lists this ribosomal RNA (491 nucleotides) under uncultured bacterium. RNAcentral's name for it is "partial 16S ribosomal RNA". It matches the Rfam family "Bacterial small subunit ribosomal RNA", at positions 28 to 507 of the family's 1533-position model. The record is from RNAcentral.
GAUGAACGCUGGCUACAGGCUUAACACAUGCAAGUCGAGGGGAAACGACGGGGAAGCUUGCUUCCCCGGGCGUCGACCGGCGCACGGGUGAGUAACGCGUAUCCAACCUGCCUCUGACUGAGGGAUAACCCGUCGAAAGUCGGCCUAAUACCUCAUGGCAUCGUCUGCGGGCAUCCAACGACGAUUAAAGAUUUCAUCGGUCAGGGAUGGGGAUGCGUCUGAUUAGCUAGUUGGCGGGGUAACGGCCCACCAAGGCGACGAUCAGUAGGGGUUCUGAGAGGAAGGUCCCCCACAUUGGAACUGAGACACGGUCCAAACUCCUACGGGAGGCAGCAGUGAGGAAUAUUGAGCAAUGGGCGAGAGCCUGAACCAGCCAAGUAGCGUGCAGGAUGACGGCCCUAUGGGUUGUAAACUGCUUUUAUGCGGGGAUAAAGUGAGGGACGUGUCCUUCAUUGCAGGUACCGCAUGAAUAAGGACCGGCUAAUUCCGUG